Molecule: ribosomal RNA, 465 nt
Filed under: Vreelandella stevensii
Lineage: Bacteria; Pseudomonadati; Pseudomonadota; Gammaproteobacteria; Oceanospirillales; Halomonadaceae
Description: partial 16S ribosomal RNA
Rfam family: Bacterial small subunit ribosomal RNA
Source: RNAcentral
CCUACGGGUGGCUGCAGUGGGGAAUAUUGGACAAUGGGGGCAACCCUGAUCCAGCCAUGCCGCGUGUGUGAAGAAGGCCCUCGGGUUGUAAAGCACUUUCAGUGGGGAAGAACGCCUGGUGGUUAAUACCCAGCAGGAAAGACAUCACUCACAGAAGAAGCACCGGCUAACUCCGUGCCAGCAGCCGCGGUAAUACGGAGGGUGCGAGCGUUAAUCGGAAUUACUGGGCGUAAAGCGCGCGUAGGUGGCUUGAUAAGCCGGUUGUGAAAGCCCCGGGCUCAACCUGGGAACGGCAUCCGGAACUGUCAAGCUAGAGUGCAGGAGAGGAAGGUAGAAUUCCCGGUGUAGCGGUGAAAUGCGUAGAGAUCGGGAGGAAUACCAGUGGCGAAGGCGGCCUUCUGGACUGACACUGACACUGAGGUGCGAAAGCGUGGGUAGCAAACAGGAUUAGAUACCCCAGUAGUC